ACUCCUGCGGGAGGCAGCAGUGGGGAAUUUUGGACAAUGGGCGAAAGCCUGAUCCAGCAAUGCCGCGUGCAGGAUGAAGGCCUUCGGGUUGUAAACUGCUUUUGUACGGAACGAAAAAGCUCCUUCUAAUACAGGGGGCCCAUGACGGUACCGUAAGAAUAAGCACCGGCUAACUACGUGCCAGCAGCCGCGGUAAUACGUAGGGUGCGAGCGUUAAUCGGAAUUACUGGGCGUAAAGCGUGCGCAGGCGGUUAUGUAAGACAGAUGUGAAAUCCCCGGGCUCAACCUGGGAACUGCAUUUGUGACUGCAUGGCUAGAGUACGGUAGAGGGGGAUGGAAUUCCGCGUGUAGCAGUGAAAUGCGUAGAUAUGCGGAGGAACACCGAUGGCGAAGGCAAUCCCCUGGACCUGUACUGACGCUCAUGCACGAAAGCGUGGGGAGCAAACAGGAGUAGAUACCCCGGUAGUCCC
RNAcentral lists this ribosomal RNA (470 nucleotides) under uncultured organism. RNAcentral describes it as "partial 16S ribosomal RNA". It matches the Rfam family "Bacterial small subunit ribosomal RNA", at positions 335 to 797 of the family's 1533-position model. The record is from RNAcentral.